Molecule: ribosomal RNA, 460 nt
Filed under: uncultured bacterium
Lineage: Bacteria
Description: partial 16S ribosomal RNA
Rfam family: Bacterial small subunit ribosomal RNA
Source: RNAcentral
CCUACGGGCGGCAGCAGUGAGGAAUAUUGGUCAAUGGACGAGAGUCUGAACCAGCCAAGUAGCGUGAAGGAUGACUGCCCUAUGGGUUGUAAACUUCUUUUAUAAAGGAAUAAAACGAGGCACGUGUGCCUUUUUGCAUGUACUUUAUGAAUAAGGAUCGGCUAACUCCGUGCCAGCAGCCGCGGUAAUACGGAGGAUCCGAGCGUUAUCCGGAUUUAUUGGGUUUAAAGGGAGCGUAGAUGGGUUGUUAAGUCAGUUGUGAAAGGUUGCGGCUCAACCGUAAAAGUGCAAUUGAUACUGGCAGUCUUGAGUACAGUUGAGGUAGGCGGAAUUCGUGGUGUAGCGGUGAAAUGCUUAGAUAUCACGAAGAACCCCGAUUGCGAAGGCAGCUUACUAAACUGUGACUGACAUUGAUGCUCGAAAGUGUGGGUAUCAAACAGGAUUAGAUACCCGGGUAGUC